GAUGAACGCUGGCGGCGUGCUUAACACAUGCAAGUCGAACGGAGAAUUGAAGCUUGCUUUAAUUCUUAGUGGCGGACGGGUGAGUAACGCGUGGGUAACCUGCCCUUAAGUGGGGGACAACAGUUGGAAACGACUGCUAAUACCGCAUAAAGUUAAGAGUCUGCAUGGACUAUUAACCAAAGGAGUAAUCCGCUUUUGGAUGGACCCGCGUCUGAUUAGCUAGUUGGUGAGGUAACGGCUCACCAAGGCGACGAUCAGUAGCCGGCCUGAGAGGGUGAUCGGCCACACUGGGACUGAGACACGGCCCAGACUCCUACGGGAGGCAGCAGUGGGGAAUCUUCCGCAAUGGACGAAAGUCUGACGGAGCAACGCCGCGUGAGGGAUGAAGGCCUUCGGGUUGUAAACCUCUGUCUUCAGGGAAGAAAAAAAUGACGGUACCUGAGGAGGAAGCCCCGGCUAACUACGUGCCAGCCGCCGCCGUAA
Molecule: ribosomal RNA, 483 nt
Filed under: uncultured bacterium
Lineage: Bacteria
Description: partial 16S ribosomal RNA
Rfam family: Bacterial small subunit ribosomal RNA
Source: RNAcentral